UCUAGAGAGAAACUACAUGUUUGUGCGCCUCGAUUGACAGUUUUUAACCAAGACCUUUGCCCAUGAGUUGCUUUAAGUUUUUGCGACAUGCUUGAGUUGGGGGAAAAGGGAGCAUGACCCGUGAUGGACAGUGACCAGACCUGGAGACUUGAUAAGUCGCGUGUGGGCUUGGAUGGGACCCGGACUGUGUUGCUAUCUAACCACAGCAUGUGAGGCUGCAGACACAAACAUUUGUAUUUGUAUUUUGAUGGAUUGGAUUGGGGUCGAGAGUUGAUUAAAUGUGCAGGUUGUAUGUCUUAUCAUUGAAGGACUGAAGAGCACACUACAUGAAUGUUAGGUACAUGCAUUAGCUCUCUGUGUUACGUGCCUCGUCAUUUUGCAACAUUUUAUUCAUCGUAGAGUUUAAUUGAAUUUAUGUUCAUAUUCAGUUUUUUUUUAUAAUUUUCAUUUGUUUACAUGUUGAGAUUUUAAAAUCUUUUAUUAUCAAUCUUUUGUGUUCUGAACUUGGCACAUGUUUUUGUGUCAAUCGACAUAAAGUGUAGUUUUAAUGUCUCAAAACUCGAAGAAAAAAAAUUGGUUAUUCAGUCAAGAGCUCUGAAGUUUUUGGGGUGCCCCUUACAAACAUCUGCUAGGUGCUUACACUUCAGCCGUAUUUCCCAAAUUAGUGAAAUGCACAGGUGCAAAAUUACUGCAAGGUGUGUGUAGUUUGUUAUAAUGGGUUUAGCGAAUUCCCUAUUCCUUCCUAGUUUUGUUUAAAUCAUGGAGAAAGGACACAUUUAGGCCUCACAUGAUUAUGGCAAGAAUGCUUUUAUUCCUUUGCUCCGUGAAGCUUUCAUAGGGGGAGGGUGACCAUGACCUGCUACUGACUCUCCUCGGUCCGUUGCUCCCAGAAGGGAUGCGAGGUCAUUCGGCCGGGCGAGCUCAAGCAGCCUUCUCCCUUUAAAUACAGCUUGAGUUGACCUGGCCAGGUUCCCCGCGAUCACUUCACAGCUAGGUGUCUGGAAUUGCAUUCUGCGUCUGCAUAUAUUAAACCAUAUACACAUGUACAUGCAUAUACUGUCUGCCUGGCAGACAUCAGUUAAGCUGUGGAUUUUCUGUGCAACGUGUACUGGCCAGUUAAAAGCAGAUCUCUUUCCAGCCGUGACUUGCCUGAAAUUACUAGUUUGCAUGAUGUUUUAAUUAAUUUGUAGUCCUUCCUCGGGCAUAGAUGUCUUUGUGUGUGAUAACCCAGGCUCACUGUUUGGAGUUUUCAUCAGUUUUAUCAUACAAGGAUUGCCCUGCUGCUAGAUUCAAAGCAAACUUGUCAAGCCCCAGUUAGAAAUUUACAGUUUUUUCUUUUAUUUAACAGGAUUCCCCAAUUUUUAUGCUAGUUGAUGGAUACUUAAAUACAUUUUCCUAAGCUGUGCCACUUCGUACCUAGAAAGAUUAUAGCAAGUUUUGUAUGUUUGUGUCUCGGUAAUUUCUCAAUACAAUGUAGUGAAAUAAAGUGUCAGUACGGAGAAAAUGGA
RNAcentral lists this long non-coding RNA (1508 nucleotides) under Acanthaster planci (crown-of-thorns starfish). Its description in RNAcentral is "uncharacterized LOC110974093, transcript variant X6". The record is from RNAcentral. Lineage: Eukaryota; Metazoa; Echinodermata; Asteroidea; Valvatida; Acanthasteridae.